AUAGGACGUGCAGCUCCCCUCUGUCCAACAGCCAAUACAAUGAAAUCUUCCAGUCUGUAGCGCAGAAGGGCUUGGACAGCUGCCUUGAAGACACCGUGACAGUCUUAAAUGAAGUCGAGUCUCUGCAAGCCAGCAUUGAUCAACACCGCAAAGGGGCAGAAUUUUCAGAGUCCCAAUUCCUAAAUUGGGGCAAGGGCAAGAAGAAAGCGAGGGGGCUGCCUCUGCAAAAGACUGGGGGCCGAGAGGGGAAAAGAAACCCUGACCAGCUGACCACCAAAAAAGAGAAGAAGAAGAAGAAUGAGCA
Molecule: long non-coding RNA, 304 nt
Organism: Polyodon spathula (Mississippi paddlefish)
Lineage: Eukaryota; Metazoa; Chordata; Actinopteri; Acipenseriformes; Polyodontidae
Exons: 3
Source: RefSeq, a predicted model, not a curated record